AGUGAACGCUGGCGGUAGGCCUAACACAUGCAAGUCGAACGGCAGCACAGUAAGAGCUUGCUCUUACGGGUGGCGAGUGGCGGACGGGUGAGGAAUACAUCGGAAUCUACUUUUUCGUGGGGGAUAACGUAGGGAAACUUACGCUAAUACCGCAUACGACCUACGGGUGAAAGCAGGGGAUCUUCGGACCUUGCGCGAUUGAAUGAGCCGAUGUCGGAUUAGCUAGUUGGCGGGGUAAAGGCCCACCAAGGCGACGAUCCGUAGCUGGUCUGAGAGGAUGAUCAGCCAAACUGGAACUGAGACACGGUCCAGACUCCUACGGGAGGCAGCAGUGGGGAAUAUUGGACAAUGGGCGCAAGCCUGAUCCAGCCAUACCGCGUGGGUGAAGAAGGCCUUCGGGUUGUAAAGCCCUUUUGUUGGGAAAGAAAAGCAGCAGGUUAAUACCCCGCUGUUCGGACGGUACCCAAAGAAUAAGCACCGGCUAACUUCGU
Molecule: ribosomal RNA, 491 nt
Filed under: uncultured bacterium
Lineage: Bacteria
Description: partial 16S ribosomal RNA
Rfam family: Bacterial small subunit ribosomal RNA
Source: RNAcentral